CCCGGCGACCGGCGGCACGGGUGAGUAACACGUAUGCAACCUGGCCGUGACAGAUGGAUAACCGGGAGAAAUCCCGCCUAAUACAGCAUGACGCCGGGAAGGGACAUCCCUUUCCGGCCAAAGGGGGCGACUCCGGUCACGGAUGGGCAUGCGGCGCAUUAGGUAGUUGGUGGGGCAACGGCCCACCAAGCCGACGAUGCGUAGGGGUUCUGAGAGGAAGGUCCCCCCACAUUGGAACUGAGACACGGUCCAAACUCCUACGGAAGGCAGCAG
Molecule: ribosomal RNA, 273 nt
Filed under: uncultured bacterium
Lineage: Bacteria
Description: partial 16S ribosomal RNA
Rfam family: Bacterial small subunit ribosomal RNA
Source: RNAcentral